UUCCUAGGACUUUUAAACUUAGUAUACAUCCAUAGGUAAUGGCUGCAAGUGAGAAUCUACUUUUUGAAACAAGUUGAAAAAAAGCAUUUGUCUACAAAAGAACAUCAGAUACUGCACUUUUUACAAAUUGAAUGUUUGUGGCAAGCCUGCAUCGAGAAAGUCCAUUGAUGCCAUUUUUUUCAAACAAGCAGACUUUGAUAGUGAAAAGAAGGAAGAAAACAUGUAGGCCCUAAAGAUCCUUAAAAGAGGGAAAGAGGUGACACAAGACAGAGGAUCUGGGUGAAGAGAGACUGAGACACAGGUGUCCUAAAGCAGAGGACAACAGUGCAGAAAGAGGACCUGUGCCAUCUGAAGGCAUGCCUCACAGCAGAGAAACAUCAACUCACCUGAAAGGGAAGCAAUGGACAGUUGCAUUAAUGAAAUUGGAUCAUGCUUUCUGCUUGUUAUUAAAUUUUACUUUCUGAUAGUUAAGGAAUGCUUGUAACUGAGGAAGUACCGACUUUUCUGGAAGGCAUAUUUCCCAGAUUUGUAAGAAGAGUUAGAACCACAAAAACAUGGUAGCAAAAAAGGUAACUCACCAUGUCUUUUGGGCUUCGGGUACCCCAGCCUGAAAAUUUGGUUCUAUUUCAGCAAUCAGGUAAUUUAGUAGUAUUUGUCUUUUUAUAUUCCCAUUUAAAUAAAUCUAGACUGUAUUA
RNAcentral lists this long non-coding RNA (695 nucleotides) under Homo sapiens (human). RNAcentral's name for it is "HSALNT0376669". The record is from RNAcentral. Lineage: Eukaryota; Metazoa; Chordata; Mammalia; Primates; Hominidae.